CGAUUUCCAUAUGUGCACCAGCAACCAUCGCAUUACUUCCAGUGCGACGGUAACCGCUUUGACUCGAACGAGAUCCAUUGUAGGCCCGGCAGGUCAUGUUGAAUUUGAUCCAGUGCAUUCUGCAACAAAAUUACGUUCCGUAGAAUGGAGAAAACAAAAAACAAAUCUAACAGAAAAUUUAACGGAAAUCAACAUUCAUCGCAAAUCAAACGUAGAUUGGAUCGAGUCACUAUUGAUGCGUCGCAGCAUCAGCCGUACAAAUUCGACAAUUAUUCGAAUCUGUUCCCGCACGGCAAAUAUAUAUUAUGUCGCUGAUGAACCUGAAUUCGGUUGCGCUGAAGCUGUCGCCUUCUUCGACAUGCUGAAAAACCUGCAAUAAGGUAGCAAACAUCAAGGCGAGGAGUCAGCUCCAACCGAAUUCUUCAGUUGGCUGGAGUAAAAACGACUCGAAGAGAAAAGGUCCGAUCACGUUUUGCUUAUCUACCACGAGUAGAUGAAAAGAUACAACCUGUUGAACGGGUUUCCCGCAAUGGUCAAAUUGAGCCGGAGAAAAUAUUUCUCUAACUGACAUUGCAGUGCAGUUGUUACUGGACGGGAGUAACGUGUCUGUUGGACCUGGUUGGAUAACAAUCUGGUACGACCACUGGUGAGUGACGACACAGAACAUCCGCAACAAUCCGAUGUAGGCCGUGUGCCAAUCGGCGACAAGCAGUCUUUCUAGUCGAAAUCUUUGCCGAACAACGUAUAGCAGCAUUGCCUAAACUUCCCGUACCAGCAACUAGAUUGAAGGAAUUCGACGAUCCGGUCGUUACGUCAUGUUUAUCGUCGUGACGAAGCAUCUACUCACGCAGCGGAUGGGAAAAGGCGGGUACCAUUUCGAAAAGCACGAUGGUGGACGGUGCUAGAAUUUUUGCCCUUUACGGAGCUCAAUUUCUAUGUGUUCACCAACAACUAUCGCAUUACUUCCAGUGCGACGGUAACCGCUUUAACUCGUCGCUGAUGAACCUGAAUUUGGUUGCGCUGACGCUGUCGCCUUCUUCGAUAUGCUGAAAGGCCUGCAAUAAGGUAGUAAACAGAAAUGCGUAGGAGUCAGCUCUAAACGAAUUCUUCAUUUGGCUGGAGUAAAAACGACUCGAAGAUGAAGGUCCUAUCACGUUUUGCUUAUCUACCACGAAUAGUGCAAAUUUGUCUCGCACAUGGUGUUCAAGGCACUGUACAGCCUGUGAAAUGGGUUUCCCGCAACGGUCAAAUUGAGCCGAAGAAAAUAUUUCUCUAACUGACAUUGCAGUGCAGUUGUUACUGGACGGGAGUAACGCGUCUGUUGGACCUGAUUGGAUAACAAUCUGGCACGACCACUGGUGAGUGACGACACAGAACAUCUGCAACAAUCCUAUGUAGGCCGUGUGCCAAUCGGCGACAAGCAGUUUUUCGGGUCGAAAUCUUGGCCGAACAACGUAUAGCAGCAUUGCCUAAACUUCCCGUACCAGCAACUAGGUAAGGUAAAUUCUCUAUAAUGCAUCCGACCACAAUUAAUAAAUUCUGUUAUUGGAAUUCCACGAUCCGGUCAUUACGUCACGUUAGCAUCUACAUACGCAGCCGGCGGGAAAAACGGAUUACAUUGGGAAACGCACGAUGGUAAACGGUGCUGGUAUUAUGCACUCAACGGAGUUCGCUUUCCAUAUUUGCAUCAGACCAGCACCGUAGCAUUGCUUCCAGUGCGACGAUAAUUAUGCUUUUUUAUAUUCUUUUUAUGCUUGGAAAGCGCAAUUGUUGAAUAUAAAAUGUAAAUAAAACAGAUUGCAUCAACUG
This is a long non-coding RNA of Topomyia yanbarensis, 1809 nucleotides long. RefSeq lists it as uncharacterized. NCBI's taxonomy places the organism in Eukaryota, Metazoa, Arthropoda, Insecta, Diptera, Culicidae. The transcript has 3 exons. The record is from RefSeq and is a predicted model, not a curated record.